This 864-nucleotide ribosomal RNA is filed under the name uncultured bacterium. RNAcentral's name for it is "bacterial SSU rRNA". It matches the Rfam family "Bacterial small subunit ribosomal RNA", at positions 9 to 869 of the family's 1533-position model. The record is from RNAcentral.
GAGUUUGAUCAUGGCUCAGGAUGAACGCUAGCGGCAGGCUUAACACAUGCAAGUCGAACGGUAACAGAAAAAGCUUGCUUUUUGCUGACGAGUGGCGAACGGGUGCGUAACGCGUAUGCAACCUACCUUCUUCUAAGGAAUAGCCCAGAGAAAUUUGGAUUAAUACCUUAUGAUAAUAUUUAUUCGCAUGUUUAAAUAUUUAAAACUCCGGUGGAAGAAGAUGGGCAUGCGUAACAUUAGUUUGUUGGUGAGGUAAUGGCUCACCAAGACUACGAUGUUUAGGGGGUCUGAGAGGAUGAUCCCCCACACUGGUACUGAGACACGGACCAGACUCCUACGGGAGGCAGCAGUGAGGAAUAUUGGUCAAUGGACGAAAGUCUGAACCAGCCAUGCCGCGUGAAGGAUGACGGCCCUACGGGUUGUAAACUUCUUUUGUAUAGGAAGAAACCCCUCUACGUGUAGAGGGUUGACGGUACUAUUCGAAUAAGCACCGGCUAACUCCGUGCCAGCAGCCGCGGUAAUACGGAGGGUGCGAGCGUUAUCCGGAAUUAUUGGGUUUAAAGGGUGCGUAGGCGGAAAUUUAAGUCAGUGGUGAAAGCCUGCAGCUUAACUGUAGAAUUGCCAUUGAUACUGGAUUUCUUGAAUCUAAUAGAAGUAGGCGGAAUAUGACAUGUAGCGGUGAAAUGCUUAGAUAUGUCAUAGAACACCGAUAGCGAAGGCAGCUUACUAUGUUAGUAUUGACGCUAAUGCACGAAAGCGUGGGGAGCGAACAGGAUUAGAUACCCUGGUAGUCCACGCCGUAAACGAUGAUUACUCGCUAUUGGCGAUACACUGUCAGUGGCUAAGCGAAAGUGAUAAGUAAUC